MicroRNA precursor from Mustela putorius furo (domestic ferret), 86 nucleotides. The record is from Ensembl. NCBI's taxonomy places the organism in Eukaryota, Metazoa, Chordata, Mammalia, Carnivora, Mustelidae.
UGCUCUGGAUUAGGCUUUGGCUUAAGGGAAUGUUUUAGCUGGUUUGCUCUUUUAUCCAGACCACUAAAACUUUCUCCAUUAUCAGC